Molecule: ribosomal RNA, 429 nt
Filed under: uncultured bacterium
Lineage: Bacteria
Description: bacterial SSU rRNA
Rfam family: Bacterial small subunit ribosomal RNA
Source: RNAcentral
UGGGGAAUAUUGGGCAAUGGGCGCAAGCCUGACCCAGCUAUGCCGCGUGAGUGAUGAAGGCCUUCGGAUCGUAAAGCUCUGUGGAGAGGGAAGAACAAGCACGUGGCUAAUAUCCACGGGCCCUGACGGUACCUCUUUAGCAAGCACCGGCUAACUCCGUGCCAGCAGCCGCGGUAAUACGGAGGGUGCAAACGUUGCUCGGAAUUAUUGGGCGUAAAGCGCACGUAGGCGGCCGACUAAGUCGGGUGUGAAAGCCCUGGGCUCAACCCAGGAAGUGCACUCGAAACUGACCGGCUUGAAUAUGGAAGAGGGUCGCGGAAUUCCCGGUGUAGAGGUGAAAUUCGUAGUUAUCGGGAGGAACACCAGUGGCGAAGGCGGCGACCUGGGCCAAUAUUGACGCUGAGGUGCGAAAGCGUGGGGAGCAAACAG